UCCUAGAUGGCUGGGUGGGUAAAGAAUCUGCCUGUAAUGCAGAAGAUGAAGGUUUGAUUCUUGCAUCAGGAA
RNAcentral lists this transfer RNA (72 nucleotides) under Bos taurus (domestic cattle). It matches the Rfam family "tRNA". Rfam says of the family: Transfer RNA (tRNA) molecules are approximately 80 nucleotides in length. Their secondary structure includes four short double-helical elements and three loops (D, anti-codon, and T loops). The record is from Rfam by way of RNAcentral. Lineage: Eukaryota; Metazoa; Chordata; Mammalia; Artiodactyla; Bovidae. RNAcentral also lists the same sequence under 3 other names.